This is a long non-coding RNA of Zingiber officinale, 479 nucleotides long. RefSeq lists it as uncharacterized. The transcript is spliced from 2 exons. NCBI's taxonomy places the organism in Eukaryota, Viridiplantae, Streptophyta, Magnoliopsida, Zingiberales, Zingiberaceae. The record is from RefSeq and is a predicted model, not a curated record.
AGUCGACGUUCACUGUUCUUCUCUUCCGUGGUCUAGAUCUGCGAAUCUCCUUCCUUUCGGAGAGGUCUGAUGAUCGGAUAGUUUAAAUGAUCUAAACCAUUUUGGGGGUGAUGAUUAUUGGAAUGUCUUUUGCUCCUAUCUGAUCUCCAUGUCUUUCCAACUAUACUCGAACUACUUCGAUUUUGAGUUGGAAUGAAUUUUAUUUUGAUCUGCCUUCGACAAAAGCCAAUCUUAAGCUCAAGAGAAACGGCGAGGAUCUAACUGCAGCUGAUCAGGUCCGAUCGAGGGAGGCUCCGCGGUGCUAGUGAUUGCUCGCCGGCGAUGACGGACUGUAAGGAGACGGAUGCAACUUGGAGAUUUAGUUCUUUGCAAAGUUAUUUGCAAACUGGAUGCAACUUCGAAUGUAGAUUUAACUCAUGUCAAUACGCUAGUUCAUAGCCAUUUAUGGUAAAAAAACAAAAGAAUGCCCCAUUUCACCU